UAGGGAAUCUUCCGCAAUGGACGAAAGUCUGACGGAGCAACGCCGCGUGAGUGAUGAAGGUUUUCGGAUCGUAAAACUCUGUUGUUAGGGAAGAACAAGUAUCGGAGUAACUGCCGGUACCUUGACGGUACCUAACCAGCAAGCCACGGCUAACUACGUGCCAGCAGCCGCGGUAAUACGUAGGUGGCAAGCGUUGUCCGGAAUUAUUGGGCGUAAAGCGCGCGCAGGUGGUUCUUUAAGUCUGAUGUGAAAGCCCACGGCUCAACCGUGGAGGGUCAUUGGAAACUGGGGAACUUGAGUGCAGAAGAGGAAAGUGGAAUUCCAAGUGUAGCGGUGAAAUGCGUAGAGAUUUGGAGGAACACCAGUGGCGAAGGCGACUUUCUGGUCUGUAACUGACACUGAGGCGCGAAAGCGUGGGGAGCGAACAGG
RNAcentral lists this ribosomal RNA (429 nucleotides) under Acidobacteriota bacterium. RNAcentral's name for it is "Acidobacteria bacterium partial 16S ribosomal RNA". It matches the Rfam family "Bacterial small subunit ribosomal RNA", at positions 355 to 776 of the family's 1533-position model. The record is from RNAcentral. Lineage: Bacteria; Pseudomonadati; Acidobacteriota.